CGCGCGCCGUCAGCAGGAAGACACGUACUGGUCUUUGAAAGGGUCAAGGUGAUUGGUGAUGAUGAAGAGUCAAGGAUAAGGAGGUGAUAACUACCUUCCGAGAUGGUUUUCUGGACUGACCAGGGGGAAGUACAUCAAGUUACCAAUGAAUACCAAUGGGCGGGAUCCAGAUGAAGCCACUGUUGAUGUUCAAUACAAAUCAUCAGUUUAAGGCAUACGUGACCCAUUAUGCCACAUGGUCAUCAUACAAUCAAACGCACAGUCUUCUCCCCCAAUGACUACACAUCGCAAGGUUGGAAGCGACCUGCAUACAGCUACACCCUGCGACUUUCCAUCAGGGCGCCUGACCACCGCGUGGACGGAGAUCCUUUUUUUUGAGGGGGAAAAUCUUCCAAUGACUUCUCCCGCCUUGGGCGAGGCGAGAGGGAGUGUCAGACUCUUACUGACUAAAAACCACCCCGUUCCUACUCCUGCUUUUCGAGCCGAAGCCCCGGUAGACCUGCUAGGUAGUUCGCAGAGUGGAGGUAAUACACUACUCUUACCAGAUUAUAAAUGAGAAUAAAACGUGUUCUCUGACGCUGACUAACCCUAGAAAGAGCUAUAAACAAGCACCUCAUAGCAGCCCCUAAUUUCAUUAGUCUAACUCGACCGGAGUAAUACCACGGCCUCACAGUAAACCGACGUGAAACAACGCUUGCGUUGUGUGAGUGAGGUUACCGGAGGCCCAAUUACCUUCACCAAUCUUCCUAAUCCCCGAUUGCCCAACAACCCUUAAAUUUGUAUCCUCAAAAAGGCCGGCAACGCACUUGUAACGCCUCUGGUGUUUCAAGUGUCCAUGGGCGGCGACGAUUGCUUACCAUCAGGUGAUCCGUCUGCUCGUUUACCGGCUUAUGCAUGGCAUGUGCAUCUCGCGGCGCCUCUCUGUAACGUAGUGUCAUAAGCACUUGCCUACCACAGCAUCGUUCGAAAUGAUAAUUUUGAAAGAAGGGGUGUAAGUGGCUCCCCCCACACCUGAAGAGCCAAAGCCAACCUCCCCUGCCCGUGGUACACCCUGCUAAUCAACGAACGAGGCUCUGGCGUACCUGGUCUUCCCCAAUUUACCUCCCAGAGGCAACAACACACCUGCAACUCUAUUGCUGCGGGUGUAGUUCUACUCUUGCCUCCAAGCGCACCAUCAGCUUAAAAGGGCUAUAUUGAGGAAGUCAGGUCUUUGCAGAAGAACUUCUGUAGACCAAAAGAUUUCUUGUCUAUAGGAUUUCUUCUUUAUUCUAUUGGAGAUAGGUAUGUUAUGCAUUUAGUCCUGAAUAAUGUAUCUACCUCCUUAUUUAAGGUGUAAAAUUUGUAAAUAUUCACUUAUUCCAUGAUUGAGUAAAACUACAAAAACUAUUUUAAUUCGUCAUAUGUUCAAAGUUUAAAAUCAAAAUAUAUAUAUAUAUAUAUGUAUAUAUAUUAAAAAAUUAAUAGGUGAGUUAUCAAAAUAAAAACGAAAUAAAAAAUAUAAAAUAAUAAUA
Molecule: long non-coding RNA, 1511 nt
Organism: Spodoptera frugiperda (fall armyworm)
Lineage: Eukaryota; Metazoa; Arthropoda; Insecta; Lepidoptera; Noctuidae
Exons: 3
Source: RefSeq, a predicted model, not a curated record